GAUGAAGAACGCAGUGAAACGCGAUAUGUAAUGUGAAUUGCAGAAUUCAGUGAAUCAUCGAAUCUUUGAACGCACAUGGCGCCUUCCAGUAUCCUGGGAGGCAUGCCUGUCCGAGCGUCGUUUCAACCCUCGAGCCCCCGUGGCCCGGCGUUGGGGAUCUGCCCAGGCAGUCCCCGAAAACCAGUGGCGGACCCGUUACAGGCCCUUCCCUUGCGUAGUAGCAUUCGCCUCGCAUCGGGAGCCGGCGGGCUUCCAGCCUCUAAACCCCCAUCAAGUCCGCCCCGGCGGCACCAAGGUUGACCUCGGAUCAGGUAGGAAUACCCGCUGAACUUAAGCAUAUCAAUAAGCGGAGG
This 353-nucleotide unclassified non-coding RNA is filed under the name soil metagenome. RNAcentral's name for it is "partial contains 5.8S ribosomal RNA, internal transcribed spacer 2, and large subunit ribosomal RNA". The stretch from base 1 to 120 matches the Rfam family "5.8S ribosomal RNA", at positions 35 to 154 of the family's 154-position model. The record is from RNAcentral.